This 253-nucleotide ribosomal RNA is filed under the name uncultured bacterium. Its description in RNAcentral is "partial 16S ribosomal RNA". It matches the Rfam family "Bacterial small subunit ribosomal RNA", at positions 524 to 776 of the family's 1533-position model. The record is from RNAcentral.
UACGUAGGGACCGAGCGUUGUCCGGAAUCAUUGGGCGUAAAGAGCGCGUAGGCGGCUCGCUAAGUCUUGCGUGAAAUCUCGGGGCUCAACCCCGAGCGGUCGUGAGAAACUGGCGGGCUAGAGUGCGGGAGAGGAGAGUGGAAUUCCUGGUGUAGCGGUGAAAUGCGCAGAUAUCAGGAAGAACACCCGUGGCGAAGGCGGCUCGCUGGAACGCAACUGACGCUGAGACGCGAAAGCGUGGGGAGCAAACAGG